CAAUUGCAUGAACCUUUCUCUUCGAAACCCGUCUCAUCGCCUGAAAGAAUGCAAACACGUCGAAGAAUUGGGAGAGACUGGGAAGCAUGAAAUCCAACAAUUUUCUAAACUCCUUUCUCGCAUUUUCUUUGCGUAUAUCAGUUUUUUCGAUUCACCUAAUGACUCCGUAAUCAGAAAUUUUCGUUCGUAAAAACAUGAUUCUUUCAUUUCUCUACGGUUCUUCACCCAAAAUCCUAUCGAUUAUUCAUCAGAUCAUCAACUCCGGCCCCACUCCUUCUGCCGCUGCGACGUCUUCAUUGAUUGGAACUAGAUAGAUCGGUUGGGCUUUGAAGCUUCUCCUAAAGAAUCCAGUUAGAUCGAGAUGUACUUUGGAUUUGACACAACUCAUGUUGCUGCUAGAGAGCUUCUGAUUGUGUUUUGUCUCUGAGUGGGACUUCUACUGCCACUUUAAUUCAAGGAAAGUUCCUAAUAGUUCCGCUUCGACGGUUUCGACGAAUUAUUCGAAGAAUUUGACUUCUGGUUCUGGUUCUUGAGGUGGUUUGAGAAGCAGGUUCCUUCAAUUGCUGCUUCUUCUAUCUUUGUUCAUGUGGAGAGAAAAGUUUGUGCAAAGGCUUCUGAGUUGUUCAAAAGAGAUCAUAGUUAUGUGAGCAAGUCCAAGUCUACAUUUUAUCCGACGGGUAUGGAAUUGAACUGAAUUUUGCACCCAAAACCCAAAUAAUGGAUUCAUCCUUAAAAUCCACACCUGUUGCAGGUUUCCUCGGUAUGUGAUUUCGAAGAUGGAUAUGAUUUUAUGUAUCAAAACUUCACUUGUUUCAUGAACGGAGGAAGAAGAAGAAAAAGAUAUGUUGAGAUAAAUUCUAAGCUUUCUUGCCAACUCCAAUCCUUGUAGUAGCUCAUGUAUCAAACUCUUUGAAUCUCCCAUGAUAGAAUGAUUAGAACCAAAAAAGAAACAAAAGUGUUGGGAUUUGAGAAUGAAGGUGAGUUAUGUUAUGGGUUAAGGGAUAUAAGAGGGAUGUAUUAGAGAGGUCUAAAUUAUAAUUUGUUGACCUUUUCUUGCCGCGGAACAGACUUUGGAUUCUCAUUGACCCACCACAAUUAUUUAAUACCAUAAUGAUUAUGGUUUAACAAAUCAAAACGUGAACGGUUUAGAUCUUAAAUUGGGAGCAGUGAAAAGAAGGGUAAUGUAUUAAUUAGCUCAAGAUCGAUAAAGCUAGUACCAAUUUGGAAAGUCUUGAGAUUAAGACUAAUGAAUCUAUUGAUGAAUAUGAGAACCUUGUGGCUUUGGUAAUUGAUUUUUAUUUCUCAACAUAUAACCUUAUUAGUUAUACAAAGCUAAUUUAUGAUGAUCAAUCAGUAUGUCAGUUUGAUGAAGCUAUUGAUCAAGAAGGAGAUUCCCUAGAAGGUCUAAGAAAGUUGGUGGAUCCAAGGCUAGGAGAUGGCACAGCUUGCCAAGGAUUGCACAAAUCGAGAUCCAAAAGGGCGUCCAAGAAUGAGAGUUGUUGUGGUUUCUCUAAUGAAACUAAAUUAAAGUAAUGUAUCCAAUUCCUGCAUUGUUCAGUGUCCAAUUCCAUGGAUGACAUAGAAGAUGAUUCUUGCUGACCCACUUUUUGGUUAAAACCAUCUUGAACCAUGACUGAUAGCCUGUACCCGGUCGUUCCUUUAAAGCCAUAUACACCAAUGCUCAUAUUCGAAAGCUUCUUCGUAGGUUGAAAGCUCUGCCAGCAUCGACCGAUAGAAUUCAAUUUUGCUCUAGAGUGGAGAAAGAAUACCUCAAACCUUCUUACUCUGCCAGCAUCGGCGAGGAGCUUGAAGAUGGGUUAUUUGAUGCAUGUUGAGUUAUCUGGGGACCUUGAGGACCAGAAUCAACUCUUUCAACACAGUCAUCCGUUGGAGCUUGACUUAUUGAGGAAACCAUUUGUUGUAAACCUCCUUGCUGAGCCAUUUCUUUUGCAACAGGUUUUGGAAUAUAUCUCUCUAUUUCAGCCCUCUUAUUUUUUAAAUUAUGCACCUGCUGCUGAUCACUCUUUGCAGGAACAAUUGCCUCGAUUUUAACUGGCUAUUCAUUCUACCAUAGGAUUCUUCAUUCUCUACAAAUCUUUGGUCUGAAUACUGAUUUGAGUCUUUAGGCAAGGAUGAUGUCUGAAUUGAACCCUGGUCUAACUCAAUGUCUACCCUGGAUUUAUUUUCAAUAGAGGUUCUCGGAAGACCAGCUUCCUUUGGUAUUACCGAUGGUAAUGAAGCCAAGGACAAAGUCUC
Long non-coding RNA from Vicia villosa (hairy vetch), 2256 nucleotides. RefSeq lists it as uncharacterized. The transcript has 6 exons. The record is from RefSeq and is a predicted model, not a curated record. Lineage: Eukaryota; Viridiplantae; Streptophyta; Magnoliopsida; Fabales; Fabaceae.